CUCAGAGCCUAGUUUCAGUCUUCUCGUGCCGGCGGCUUGGAAGUGAGAUGUGAGUGACGGCGCGUUUGCGAGCGUUCGGGGUAGUGGGCUUUGCCUCAACUCUCCCUCCUCACCUCGUCGCAUCGUUAAUGUAAGUACCAUGUCACAGCUCAUCGCGGGACAGCGUGGGACAGCGCGGGAGCUCCUCUUCGUUCAAAGGAAAGUGAAGGUCGUUUCCUAGGCGUUAGGAUGAUAGGCUGCUAGGCUGUUAGGCUGCUAACCCCCAUUCUUUUUCAGGUACACCUUAAUUCCUUUGAAUAUUUCCAGUUAUGUCCUAAUUACUGCAGCGCGGUUGCGACGAGACGCUUGUAUUGCAGUGAGGCUGGGAAAACUGCUGGAGGAGUGCGUCAUGCGUUAAAGGAUGUGUGAGUGAUGCAUUGGAUUUCCGAACCGAGGUGGCGCGUGUUACAGUAUGGACAAAGCUUGCUACAAUACUGACGAAACUUGAGUUAGAAGUACACAAGGAAGACUUAAGGAAGAGUAGCUGUGAUGUUCAGGUCGAAGUUGGCAAAUGCACGACAUUCUAGCCAAG
Molecule: long non-coding RNA, 571 nt
Organism: Scylla paramamosain (green mud crab)
Lineage: Eukaryota; Metazoa; Arthropoda; Malacostraca; Decapoda; Portunidae
Exons: 3
Source: RefSeq, a predicted model, not a curated record